RNAcentral lists this non-coding RNA (23 nucleotides) under Cricetulus griseus (Chinese hamster). Lineage: Eukaryota; Metazoa; Chordata; Mammalia; Rodentia; Cricetidae. The record is from RNAcentral.
AGGAGAGAGGAUGGAACAGAGGG